This 719-nucleotide unclassified non-coding RNA is filed under the name Hevea brasiliensis (rubber tree). The record is from RNAcentral. Lineage: Eukaryota; Viridiplantae; Streptophyta; Magnoliopsida; Malpighiales; Euphorbiaceae.
UGUGAUAGAGCAACAGCCACCUGUUUAGAAGAUAAAUUUAACAAAUCAUGGAAUCAUUAUUUGCUGCUUUAGAUGGUAUGAUCUCUUCUUUUUCUUCCAUUUUAAAUGAGGUACCAUAUAAGCUGUAAGAGACCUUAUAGUUGACAACAAACUUCAGUCAACUAUUCUCAGUUGUCUAAGUGCCUGUAUAAGUGCACCUCUAUUAUGUCAUUGGGAGAAUUGAUGAAGCAAAAGAAUUGAUUAAUUGUAGAAUGUUCUCUGCAGUUUCUUCCUCCUCUUGUCCCUUUCUUUCCAUUCUCUACCCUAAUUUCUUUCUUUCUUAAUUCUUAAUUUCAAUUUUUUUCCUUCUUAUCUUUUUCUCCUGCUUUAUCUAUUCAAAUUCUCCUCUUCGUUAUAUCUCUGUUCCAUCCUUCUCUUCUAGUAGGAAGUUUAUACCAUGUAAGCUGCAAAUGGUUUUCUAGCUCCCAACAAAGAACAAUGCACUGGCAUUGCUGCAUUGGUAACAUAAGAAAUGAUAUCCAUUUUUGAAACAUUUAUACAUGAUUCCACUCAGAGGGGCAGCCAACAUUUCCCAAAAUUCAACUUAAUGCCAAUUAUGACAUUGAAUAGACCUUAAAAAUUUAAUAAAAACUACUAAAGCAGUACUUGGUAUAAGUAUGAACUCAAAUAGCAGAUAAAAAAAUGGUAAAUAAUGCAUAUAAUUGGCAAUUUCACUAUAG